Molecule: microRNA precursor, 52 nt
Filed under: Mustela putorius furo (domestic ferret)
Lineage: Eukaryota; Metazoa; Chordata; Mammalia; Carnivora; Mustelidae
Description: mir-1302 microRNA precursor family
Rfam family: mir-1302 microRNA precursor family
Source: Rfam by way of RNAcentral
CUUUUAGCCUAAGUAUAUCCCAUACAAUAUUUGGGACAUACUUAUGCUAACA